CUCAGCUCCUGGUGAUCCAGGACACGGAGCUUCCAGGGGCUUUUCCCUCUGGAAACACUUUGCAGUCCCUCUUGCACUGAUGAAUGACAUGGAAGAGACAGCCAAGUUACUGUUUCACUGCUCUCCGCUGGGACUCUGACAAGCGCCGAGCUCCUCGCAGAUGACACAGAAUAAUUGAGAUGUCCUUCUGCUGACCUUCAGUGCCUGCCAGCGCUCACAUCCCUGCUGGGGACGAGGGGAGCUGCAGAAGGCGAAUCCAAGUGCAGGCACAGGCCUGGCCAUUCCCAGCCCAGGAGCUUCUCCAGAGGAAGGAAGAGGAGAUAGAGGCUGGUUUAGAUUACGGGAACAUUGAAAGGAGCCGGUGCUGUUAGCAAAGAGGGUUGCUGGUUGUUGUUAUCACUGCACCCAGAGAUAAACCAGGAGUG
This 425-nucleotide long non-coding RNA is filed under the name Cyanistes caeruleus (blue tit). RNAcentral describes it as "lncRNA (ENSCCEG00000011172.1)". Lineage: Eukaryota; Metazoa; Chordata; Aves; Passeriformes; Paridae. The record is from RNAcentral.